UGUCCCAGGGGGCAUUGUGCUCAGGUAUAGAUCAUUAAGUGGUUCUGUUUCUGGGGGGGCAUUGUGCUCAGGUAUAGAUAAUUAAGGGUUGUUUACCGCCAUUGGGCUGCACUCAGAUGCACAGUAGGUUAGCAGCUCAUACAUGGUAACUCCAAAUGACCAAACAUCUGAAGCAAUGUAAAACUUGCACUGAAGCAAACAUUCUGGGGCGUACC
This is a long non-coding RNA of Acipenser ruthenus (sterlet), 215 nucleotides long. RefSeq lists it as uncharacterized. The transcript has 2 exons. The record is from RefSeq and is a predicted model, not a curated record. Lineage: Eukaryota; Metazoa; Chordata; Actinopteri; Acipenseriformes; Acipenseridae.